Molecule: ribosomal RNA, 635 nt
Filed under: uncultured Marinobacter sp.
Lineage: Bacteria; Pseudomonadati; Pseudomonadota; Gammaproteobacteria; Pseudomonadales; Marinobacteraceae
Description: bacterial SSU rRNA
Rfam family: Bacterial small subunit ribosomal RNA
Source: RNAcentral
CGCCUGGGGAGUGCGGCCGCAAGGUUAAAACUCAAAUGAAUUGACGGGGGCCCGCACAAGCGGUGGAGCAUGUGGUUUAAUUCGACGCAACGCGAAGAACCUUACCUGGCCUUGACAUCCAGAGAGCUUUCCAGAGAUGGAUUGGUGCCUUCGGGAACUCUGAGACAGGUGCUGCAUGGCCGUCGUCAGCUCGUGUCGUGAGAUGUUGGGUUAAGUCCCGUAACGAGCGCAACCCCUAUCCCUGGUUGCUAGCAGGUAAUGCUGAGAACUCCAGGGAGACUGCCGGUGACAAACCGGAGGAAGGUGGGGAUGACGUCAGGUCAUCAUGGCCCUUACGGCCAGGGCUACACACGUGCUACAAUGGCGCGUACAGAGGGCUGCCAUCUCGCGAGAGUGAGCCAAUCCCUUAAAACGCGUCGUAGUCCGGAUCGGAGUCUGCAACUCGACUCCGUGAAGUCGGAAUCGCUAGUAAUCGCGAAUCAGAAUGUCGCGGUGAAUACGUUCCCGGGCCUUGUACACACCGCCCGUCACACCAUGGGAGUGGAUUGCACCAGAAGUAGUUAGUCUAACCUUCGGGAGGACGAUUACCACGGUGUGGUUCAUGACUGGGGUGAAGUCGUAACAAGGUAACCGUA